Molecule: long non-coding RNA, 382 nt
Organism: Peromyscus eremicus (cactus mouse)
Lineage: Eukaryota; Metazoa; Chordata; Mammalia; Rodentia; Cricetidae
Exons: 3
Source: RefSeq, a predicted model, not a curated record
CAUAACUGUGUGGUCUGGUGAUAGGUCAGUGUCCCAGCCAGCAACAUGGAGUUCCCCAGAGAAAUGAGUCAUUUCCUUCUAUUUGGGCAAGAGGUGUUGACUCUCUUUCCAGAUGCAGAGAAAGCCCGGACCGAAGGAAAGGCGAUGUUUGCCUGGAAGUUACCAGGAGUCACGGCUGGGACGCCAAACACCAGCGUUGGCAGUCACACUCGGGACAGAACAGCUAAAAUUCGCACAUCUGAUUGACCGUCUCCUGUGCUUCAAUCCGUCUUAACUCACGUUUGUCUGUAGAGAUAGAUGCCUAGACUUGCCAGCCUUCCUGGAACUCGCUUGGAGGUCUAAAUAGUCUCAAGCUCACCGAUCAAUAAACAGUAAAUCGACA